Molecule: transfer RNA, 75 nt
Filed under: Phycisphaerales bacterium
Lineage: Bacteria; Pseudomonadati; Planctomycetota; Phycisphaerae; Phycisphaerales
Description: tRNA-Asp
Rfam family: tRNA
About the family: Transfer RNA (tRNA) molecules are approximately 80 nucleotides in length.
Source: RNAcentral
GGGGCGGUAGCUCAAUUGGUUAGAGUACCGGCCUGUCGAGCCGGAUGUUGCGGGUUCGAGUCCCGUCCCGCCUCG